This is a long non-coding RNA of Haemorhous mexicanus (house finch), 2010 nucleotides long. RefSeq lists it as uncharacterized. The transcript has 5 exons. The record is from RefSeq and is a predicted model, not a curated record. NCBI's taxonomy places the organism in Eukaryota, Metazoa, Chordata, Aves, Passeriformes, Fringillidae.
GGGAAAGGGAGGUGAAGGAAGGGAAGGAAGAAGGAGAAGGGGUGCUGCGGUUUGUCCGUCCGUCCCUCUCCCCGCGCUGCAGUGCGGGGCUGGAUCCCCCCGAGGAUCCCGGCCGGCCGGUCGGUGGGUGAGCGGGAAAGAAAAGCUGUCUGUACACUGAUGUUGGGAUCCGAAGGUCAGCUCACUGAGGAUUAAUGCCAAGGAUAGUUCAUGACUAAGAAAAUUCAAUCGGCAAUGUGAUGAGGUGAAGAUCUGCCCUGGUUGAACAAUCCCAGCUCUCUCAACGUCUCAUCCCUUCAUCAUCUUCACGGCCCUUCACUGACUUGCUGCAGCAAGUUCCUGUCUGUGUUCUACUGAAGAACUGGAUCCAGAACCUCUCACGUGUCUGUCUACCAGUGCUGAACUGAAUGGGAAUAAUCACCUCCCUCGACCUGCUGGUGACCCUCCUCCUAAUGCAGCCUGCUGGCAUCAUCUUGAGAAAGGCACUGUGAUAAAGAACAUGUGGCUGGUGAGUGGUGCUGGCAGAUGGACUGGGGCUGCUGCUCUACAGUGAUCAAACAUCUUCCCAACCAGGUGGGCUCAUUUCUCCUCCCUCACAGCCUGGCUGUUCUUGGGGCAAACACCAACAGGACACAGCGCUGUGCUUCCAUCUGGUUGGAAUAGUGAUGUGGCUGCGGGGAGGACCCAGAGAGCACCAAAGCUGGCACCAAGAUGGAGCCUGGGCAGGGAAGAGCUGGGUGGUGGCAGUUCUCUGGCAGAAGCCUGCACACUCUUGCAGGAGUGACCCAGCAAAACACCAUCUUCAUUCUUCUGUACACAGAUUAUUUACCAGUGUGUCCUCUUAGCUGUGAGGGGACGUUUGUAAAAGAUUUAGCCACCUGAAUGGGUCAUGCAAUAAUGUUUCCAGGGAUUUUUUUUUUCUGGUUUUCCUAGUCCACUGAAAAAUUACUUCUGUAUUGGUGGAGAUAACAAGAAGUGCUCACUGAAAUAAAAAUUGCCAGCAUUCAGCAGGGUGGCACCUCUGCUCAGUGCAUGUUGUAAAAUUCCAGCAGGCAAGGAAUGCCACUUGGCUCUUGUUCAGGAACUGGCAGGAAACAACCCCCACUAUGCUAUGAUUCAACACCAAGAGGAAAAAAAAAAAAAAGAAAUCUCUUUCUCUGUAACAGGGAGCAUGGAUGAACACGGUUAUGUUAAUAAAGCUAUGCUGCCCUGUCACAUCUGGAGACCCAGGCUGGGGGGGGGAAAAAAAUCCAAUUAGCUCCAACUGGCCUUACUGUAGUGGCCCUAAAUCAGUCCCUAGAGAGCUGUUGCACCACAUAACUGCAUCCCACAGUGAUUGACUACACGCUCUACAACAUUUGCCACAGAUGGCAGCCACCAGCCAGCAGAGAGGGGUGCCCAUUAGCAGAGAGGCAGAAUUCAGCUAAAAGUGCCUCCCCCCGCCUCAGAAAGGUGGUAAUGGCAUGCAGCAGAGCUGCUUCCUUGCAGAUGCCCCUCCUAUGCAAAAGAGUUUGCUGGUCUAAAUUAAAAGGGGAAAAAAAAUAAUAAAAAAAGAAGAAGAGAGAAAAAAGGGAAGAAAACAGACCCUACAAAAUAUUAUUUCCCCCCCCCCCUUUUUUUAUUUAUGUCACUGUACACCAACCCGGCAAAGUAAGAGCUUAUAACCUUCCCUUAUUCCAGGUGCUAAAGCUUGCUCUGUGCAAAAAAAAAAAAAAAAAACAACCACCACCGUGAGAGCCUGGCUGCAUUCUCUCAGUUAGCAGGUGUUGGAAGCCUGCAGGGAUCUGCAGGUUAAUUAAUACUGACUUACCAGGGUUGGGGAGCUUAUUAGCCUCCACCCUAAAAAUGAGGAAGACAGGAGGAGCCCUCUGGGGGGAAGGCAGGUAAUGUUUGUGGGGAGGGAGGGAGGCUGAGGCAGAGCCAACACUGGGGAAGAGGCUUUAGGUGCGGCUUAUGAGUUAGGUUUUUAUCCCUUUUCUCUCAAUAAAAGCAAAGUUGAGAAUAAAUGUA